Molecule: transfer RNA, 71 nt
Filed under: Atelura formicaria
Lineage: Eukaryota; Metazoa; Arthropoda; Insecta; Zygentoma; Nicoletiidae
Description: tRNA-Ser
Rfam family: tRNA
About the family: Transfer RNA (tRNA) molecules are approximately 80 nucleotides in length. Their secondary structure includes four short double-helical elements and three loops (D, anti-codon, and T loops).
Source: RNAcentral
GAUUACUUGGCUGAAAGAUUAAGCAAAUAUUUUGAAAAUAUUCCAUAAAGGUUUAAAUCCAUUAGUAAUCC